UGAACGCUGGCGGCAUGCCUUACACAUGCAAGUCGAACGGCAGCACGGGUGCUUGCACCUGGUGGCGAGUGGCGAACGGGUGAGUAAUACAUCGGAACAUGUCCUGUAGUGGGGGAUAGCCCGGCGAAAGCCGGAUUAAUACCGCAUACGAUCUACGGAUGAAAGCGGGGGACCUUCGGGCCUCGCGCUAUAGGGUUGGCCGAUGGCUAAUUAGCUAGUUGGUGGGGUAAAGGCCUACCAAGGCGACGAUCAGUAGCUGGUCUGAGAGGACGACCAGCCACACUGGGACUGAGACACGGCCCAGACUCCUACGGGAGGCAGCAGUGGGGAAUUUUGGACAAUGGGCGAAAGCCUGAUCCAGCAAUGCCGCGUGUGUGAAGAAGGCCUUCGGGUUGUAAAGCACUUUUGUCCGGAAAGAAAUCCUUGGCUCUAAUACAGUCGGGGGAUGACGGUACCGGAAGAAUAAGCACCGGCUAACUACGUGCCAGCAGCCGCGGUAAUACGUAGGGUGCGAGCGUUAAUCGGAAUUACUGGGCGUAAAGCGUGCGCAGGCGGUUUGCUAAGACCGAUGUGAAAUCCCCCGGGCUCAACCUGGGAACUGCAUUGGUGACUGGCAGGCUAGAGUAUGGCAGAGGGGGGUAGAAUUCCACGUGUAGCAGUGAAAUGCGUAGAGAUGUGGAGGAAUACCGAUGGCGAAGGCAGCCCCCUGGGCCAAUACUGACGCUCAUGCACGAAAGCGUGGGGGAGCAAACAGGAUUAGAUACCCUGGUAGUCCACGCCCUAAACGAUGUCAACUAGUUGUUGGGGAUUCAUUUCCUUAGUAACGUAGCUAACGCGUGAAGUUGACCGCCUGGGGAGUACGGUCGCAAGAUUAAAACUCAAAGGAAUUGACGGGGACCCGCACAAGCGGUGGAUGAUGUGGAUUAAUUCGAUGCAACGCGAAAAACCUUACCUACCCUUGACAUGGUCGGAAUCCUGCUGAGAGGCGGGAGUGCUCGAAAGAGAACCGGCGCACAGGUGCUGCAUGGCUGUCGUCAGCUCGUGUCGUGAGAUGUUGGGUUAAGUCCCGCAACGAGCGCAACCCUUGUCCUUAGUUGCUACGCAAGAGCACUCUAAGGAGACUGCCGGUGACAAACCGGAGGAAGGUGGGGAUGACGUCAAGUCCUCAUGGCCCUUAUGGGUAGGGCUUCACACGUCAUACAAUGGUCGGAACAGAGGGUUGCCAACCCGCGAGGGGGAGCUAAUCCCAGAAAACCGAUCGUAGUCCGGAUUGCACUCUGCAACUCGAGUGCAUGAAGCUGGAAUCGCUAGUAAUCGCGGAUCGCAUGCCGCGGUGAAUACGUUCCCGGGUCUUGUACUCACCGC
Molecule: ribosomal RNA, 1365 nt
Filed under: uncultured beta proteobacterium
Lineage: Bacteria; Pseudomonadati; Pseudomonadota; Betaproteobacteria
Description: 16S ribosomal RNA
Rfam family: Bacterial small subunit ribosomal RNA
Source: RNAcentral